Molecule: microRNA precursor, 59 nt
Filed under: Eptatretus burgeri (inshore hagfish)
Lineage: Eukaryota; Metazoa; Chordata; Myxini; Myxiniformes; Myxinidae
Description: Ebu-Mir-30-P2f_pre stem-loop
Rfam family: mir-30 microRNA precursor family
About the family: This family consists of the mammalian microRNA (miRNA) precursor mir-30a. Animal miRNAs are transcribed as ~70nt precursors and subsequently processed by the Dicer enzyme to give a ~22nt product. In this case the mature sequence comes from both the 3' (miR-30) and 5' (mir-97-6) arms of the precursor.
Source: RNAcentral
UGUAAACACCCUACACUCUCAGCUGGAAUUAAUGUUAGCUGGGAGGGGGUGUUUGCUGC